Small nucleolar RNA from Artibeus jamaicensis (Jamaican fruit-eating bat), 127 nucleotides. RefSeq annotates it as small nucleolar RNA SNORA11. The record is from RefSeq and is a predicted model, not a curated record. The transcript has a single exon. NCBI's taxonomy places the organism in Eukaryota, Metazoa, Chordata, Mammalia, Chiroptera, Phyllostomidae.
AGGGUGUGCUCAGAGCAGGGGCCUGAAGGAAUGGCUCAUCAGUUUACAGGGCUCUCAACAGGAGCUCGGGCUGCUGGGCAGAGGGCACAGAGCUCGUUCCCUUUCUGUGAGCAGACACCCUGCACGU